Molecule: transfer RNA, 61 nt
Filed under: Campodea lubbockii
Lineage: Eukaryota; Metazoa; Arthropoda; Diplura; Rhabdura; Campodeidae
Description: Campodea lubbocki tRNA-Glu
Source: RNAcentral
GCCAUUAUAGUGUAAUUAACACAUUACAUUUUCAUUGUAAAAAUAUUUUUAAUUAAAGGUA